UUAACUAUUAUGUAAUACUCGGACAAUACAAAUCAAGAGUUUAGGGUCCUCUGGCAGGCACUGACCAGCUGAAGCCGGUGGUCAAACGACGGGCCUACCAAAGCAACAAAGGUAUUGUAAACAAAGGGUGGAGAUCUACCCCAAGGGGCAAGUUCUCUGUAAUGAUCCUUCCGCAGGUUCACCUACGGAACGCAAGACUCUACAGCCUUUUCAGGCAUAGGCCGGUCAUAUCUAAAUCCAAGAACAUGCUAGGACCACCUUCGUUUGAUCUGUGGACUGCCUAAGCAGCUGAAUGUAACCUAAGUGGUAUCCAAGCACAGUGAAGAUGUCGCCUACACUAGACUGAGUUCCAAGGCUUCUAUAGGUGUUCAUUCCUUAAGGAAA
Molecule: unclassified non-coding RNA, 384 nt
Filed under: uncultured fungus
Lineage: Eukaryota; Fungi
Description: sequence contains ITS1
Source: RNAcentral